GCAUCACGUGGCCCGACACGUAGCCGUGGGGCUCCAGAGCGCGUGCGCGCGUCGAGCCCGGUCGCCACGCCCCUUCCGAGGGUCGCUCCGCCCCCGUCGGGCCCCGCGAGCGCGCGGUGGGGGAGGGGAGGGCCCCGGAGCGCGCCUGCGUGGGGCGGGGGCGGCAGCCGACUAGGGGCUGGGUCUGGCCGUUUAGGGCCGGGUCUUGGCCCGUCGCCCACGGUGCGGAGGGCUGGUGGGCUUUCCUUGGCCGUCGGGCCCGCCACGGCGCGGGUCUUGGCUGCGGGGCGGAGGUGGGGCGGGAGAGCCGAGGAUAAGAGUUUGAGGCUUUUCGAGGCGCGUGCCGCGGCGUCCGCCUCUGCGGGACUCUGCGCCGGGCGCCCUCGGCCGGCGCGCCCGGCUCCCGCUUUGUCGCCGAGGGAAGCACGCGCGACGCCCCUCCCGUCGCCGCCGUGGCUUCUUUCGGUGUUCGUGAUUUGCUGAGAGGCUGGAAAGCAGCACGGCGGAGAGGAGCCUUGCACUCGCCAGGCGGGAAGCCUGCGCGGACACGCGUGCGCACCCACGGGGCGGCGGGCGGGCGUGGGGGGUCCGGGCCACGCGGGCGACGCGCCUCUAGGGAAGCGAUCUUGUUGCACCUUCCCGUUAUUCUGAAAGCAAAUCGUAGCCAGACCCGAGCGCAGCGGCUUAGCAAAUAAUAAGGGGAGCGUCAGUCGUGCUCGAAAUGCUUCCUUCGCGAUGGCGUCAGUGUUCCGUGAGGGAAUGAAGCCGCAGUAGGAAAUAAAGAGGCUGUGCGCGUAGUCUGAAAAGCAGAAGUCAACAUUUUUACAGAUGAAGAAAGAAUACGGAGGCAAGAGGUCUUUCUCUGCAGUUUGGUGGAUUUCCAACAUUUAGACUUGUUUGGAAGAAUUUCCUCAGCUGCACCAAUGAAGUCCUUGAUCUAUAGAAGUCGGCAGUCCCUAAAUCUACGUCUGCAUUUUGUUGCAAAUCCUUUAUAACAUUCCAUUAAAAUAAUGCAGAGUUAUUUAAUAUCCAGUUGGCCAUCGUGAGAGUAAUUCGCGGCUGAGAUUUUGUUAAUCAUUCUGUCUUCUGACUUAACAGUGAACGUAGGUGAUUUUUUUUGUAAAAUGUUGCUUCACAUGAAUUGUGAGAAUCACCUCUAAGUUUGAAUUGUACUGAAGGCACUAUAAGAAUUUCAAAUGAACGCUGAGUAGCCAGUAGCCUUCUGGCCUUUUCGUUUAACAAGCACAGAGUUCGUUUUUAAAAUUAAGUUACUUUGACAGAGGAAAUGUAAUAGCCUUGGUAGACAACAUUAAAAAUGUAACUGUCAGAUGUUUUAAAGUCUCCAACAGCCGUAUCUGUUUUAGAGCCAUAGAAUAUUUACUUACUGAAUUGCCUGUUUAAAGAUGAACUUUCUAAAUGCAGGGAAUAGUAACUUGCAAAAAAGCUAUGGUCUCUAAGUAAUGAAGGCUGUUUCAGUACCUAGAAAAAUCAAAAUCAAGGUUUUGAUGCUGCUAGUGUAAAAGAUGCAAUCCCCUUCUUAAUGGCCUGCUUAUUUAUUAAGCUCCUAGGCACUAUGCUGAAUGCCCUACAUGCAUAUCUCGUUUAAUCAUCAGUACAACUUGGGCUUAGGUUAGACUGUUAUCCCC
This 1646-nucleotide long non-coding RNA is filed under the name Homo sapiens (human). Its description in RNAcentral is "HSALNT0116292". The record is from RNAcentral. Lineage: Eukaryota; Metazoa; Chordata; Mammalia; Primates; Hominidae.